Non-coding RNA from Paramuricea clavata, 435 nucleotides. The record is from the annotation of a GenBank genome assembly. NCBI's taxonomy places the organism in Eukaryota, Metazoa, Cnidaria, Anthozoa, Malacalcyonacea, Plexauridae.
CGCAAACGCUAUAGUUAUACAUAAAAAUAUGAGAUUUCGUCUUGGCCUUAAAUUAAUUAAUCAUUUCCAAUAAAAUACUUGCUAUGAACUUACCAAAUAAAUGCAUGACACUGCGAGCAGAAUCUUGGCUGAAUAAAUGUCUUGAUUUUAAAACCGUGGCCACAAAUAUCGAGCGAUGUUCUUCGACUCGAUCUGAAUGCCAUUCGACCGCACAGCUUACGAGAUUCAGAGCUGUUGAGAUCCGAAGACGAAGUAUUAUUGGCAAAACACAAACAAUUGGCCAUUUGUUUAUAAAAAACUGGAUUAGAAUAUACAAAAAAGGUUACGGUUAUGUUCAGUUAAGCUUCGUGCCAGCGAAGACUUGAGUUUGAAGUCGUGUGUUGUGUGCGAGUGUUUUAUAUAUAUGUUAUUAUGUUUGUCGCAGAAUGCGACGCG